CAACCUACCUAUCAGAGGGGAAUAACCCGGCGAAAGUCGGACUAAUACCGCAUAAAACAGGGGUUCCACAUGGAAAUAUUUGUUAAAGAAUUAUCGCUGAUAGAUGGGCAUGCGUUCCAUUAGAUAGUUGGUGAGGUAACGGCUCACCAAGUCCACGAUGGAUAGGGGUUCUGAGAGGAAGGUCCCCCACGCUGGUACUGAGACACGGACCAGACUCCUACGGGAGGCAGCAGUGAGGAAUAUCGGUCAAUGGGCGAGAGCCUGAACCAGCCAAGUCGCGUGAAGGAUGAAGGAUCUAUGGUUUGUAAACUUCUUUUAUAUGGGAAUAAAGUGAGGAACGUGUUCCUUUUUGUAUGUACCAUAUGAAUAAGCAUCGGCUAACUCCGUGCCAGCAGCCGCGGUAAUACGGAGGAUGCGAGCGUUAUCCGGAUUUAUUGGGUUUAAAGGGUGCGUAGGUGGUUAAUUAAGUCAGCGGUGAAAGUUUGUGGCUCAACCAUAAAAUUGCCGUUGAAACUGGUUGACUUGAGUAUAUUUGAGGUAGGCGGAAUGCGUGGUGUAGCGGUGAAAUGCAUAGAUAUCACGAAGAACUCCGAUUG
RNAcentral lists this ribosomal RNA (596 nucleotides) under uncultured Bacteroidota bacterium. Its description in RNAcentral is "bacterial SSU rRNA". It matches the Rfam family "Bacterial small subunit ribosomal RNA", at positions 122 to 715 of the family's 1533-position model. Lineage: Bacteria; Pseudomonadati; Bacteroidota. The record is from RNAcentral.